Molecule: ribosomal RNA, 301 nt
Filed under: uncultured bacterium
Lineage: Bacteria
Description: partial 16S ribosomal RNA
Rfam family: Bacterial small subunit ribosomal RNA
Source: RNAcentral
CAGCAGCCGCGGGAAUACGAAGGGUGCAAGCGUUACUCGGAAUUACUGGGCGUAAAGCGUGCGUAGGUGGUGGUUUAAGUCCGUUGUGAAAGCCCUGGGCUCAACCUGGGAAUUGCAGUGGAUACUGGCUCGCUAGAGUGUGUCAGAGGAUGGUGGAAUUUCCGGUGUAGCAGUGAAAUGCGUAGAGAUCGGAGGGAACAUCUGUGGCGAAGGCGACUAUCUGGGCCAACACUGACACUGAGGCACGAAAGCGUGGGGAGCAAACAGGAUUAGAUACCCGCGUAGUCCCUGUCUCUUAUAC